CAGGACGAACGCUGGCGGCGUGCUUAACACAUGCAAGUCGAACGGGGAUAAUGUGGAAGUCUUCGGGAUGGAAGUGAUUAUCGAGUGGCGGACGGGUGAGUAACGCGUGAACAAUCUGUCCCAGACAGGGGGAUAACACUUGGAAACAGGUGCUAAUACCGCAUAAGACCACGGGGCUGCAUGGCCCAGGGGUCAAAGGAGCAAUCCGGUGAAGGGUGGGCUCGCGUCCGAUUAGAUAGUAGGUGAGGUAACGGCCCACCUAGUCGACGAUCGGUAGCCGACCUGAGAGGGUGAUCGGCCACAUUGGGACUGAGACACGGCCCAAACUCCUACGGGAGGCAGCAGUGGGGAAUAUUGGGCAAUGGGGGGAAACCCUGACCCAGCAACGCCGCGUGAGGGAAGAAGGUUUUCGGAUCGUAAACCUCUGUCCUUGGUGAAGAGGAAGAGACGGUAGCCAAGGAGGAAGCCCCGGCUAACUACGUGCCAGCCGCCGC
This 494-nucleotide ribosomal RNA is filed under the name uncultured bacterium. Its description in RNAcentral is "bacterial SSU rRNA". It matches the Rfam family "Bacterial small subunit ribosomal RNA", at positions 25 to 518 of the family's 1533-position model. The record is from RNAcentral.